GACGAACGCUGGCGGCGUGCCUAAUACAUGCAAGUUGAGCGAUGAAGAUUGGUGCUUGCACCAAUUUGAAGAGCAGCGAACGGGUGAGUAACGCGUGGGGAAUCUGCCUUUGAGCGGGGGACAACAUUUGGAAACGAAUGCUAAUACCGCAUAACAACUUUAAACAUAAGUUUUAAGUUUGAAAGAUGCAAUCGCAUCACUCAAAGAUGAUCCCGCGUUGUAUUAGCUAGUUGGUGAGGUAAAGGCUCACCAAGGCGAUGAUACAUAGCCGACCUGAGAGGGUGAUCGGCCACAUUGGGACUGAGACACGGCCCAAACUCCUACGGGAGGCAGCAGUAGGGAAUCUUCGGCAAUGGACGAAAGUCUGACCGAGCAACGCCGCGUGAGUGAAGAAGGUUGUCGGAUCGUAAAACUCUGUUGGUAGAGAAGAACGUUGGUGAGAGUGGAAAGCUCAUCAAGUGACGGUAACUACCCAGAAAGGGACGGCUAACUACGUG
Molecule: ribosomal RNA, 497 nt
Filed under: uncultured bacterium
Lineage: Bacteria
Description: partial 16S ribosomal RNA
Rfam family: Bacterial small subunit ribosomal RNA
Source: RNAcentral